This 26-nucleotide non-coding RNA is filed under the name Homo sapiens (human). Lineage: Eukaryota; Metazoa; Chordata; Mammalia; Primates; Hominidae. The record is from RNAcentral.
UGCCUCUCCCUGGAAGCAUGCUGUUC